AGGGUUCGAUCAUGGCUCAGAACGUACGCUGGCGGCACGCCUAACACAUGCAAGUCGAACGGAGUAGCAAUACUUAGUGGCAGACGGGUGAGUAACAUGUAGGUAUCUGCCCUUUGGCCUGGAAUAACACGAGGAAACUUGUGCUAAUACCGGAUAAGUCUUUACGGAGAAAGCUUUAUGCACCAUUGGAUGAGCCUGCACUUGAUUAGUUUGUUGGUGGGGUAAUGGCCUACCAAGACUUUGAUCAAUAGCUGAUUUGAGAGGAUGAUCAGCCACAUUGGGACUGAGACACGGCCCAAACUCCUACGGGAGGCAGCAGUGGGGAAUCUUGCACAAUGGAGGAAACUCUGAUGCAGCGAUGCCGCGUGAGUGAAGAAGGCCCUUGGGUUGUAAAGCUCUUUCGUCGGGGAAGAAAAUGACUGUACCCGAAUAAGAAGGUCCGGCUAACUUCGUGCCAGCAGCCGCGGUAAUACGAAGGGACCUAGCGUAGUUCGGAAUUACUGGGCUUAAAGAGUUCGUAGGUGGUUGAAAAAGUUGGUGGUGAAAUCCCAGAGCUUAACUCUGGAACUGCCAUCAAAACUUUUCAGCUAGAGUUUGAUAGAGGAAAGUAGAAUUUCUAGUGUAGAGGUGAAAUUCGUAGAUAUUAGAAAGAAUACCAAUUGCGAAGGCAGCUUUCUGGAUCAUUACUGACACUGAGGAACGAAAGCAUGGGUAGCGAAGAGGAUUAGAUACCCUCGUAGUCCAUGCCGUAAACGAUGUGUGUUAGACGUUGGAAAUUUAUUUUCAGUGUCGCAGCGAAAGCAAUAAACACACCGCCUGGGGAGUACGACCGCAAGGUUAAAACUCAAAUGAAUUGACGGGGACCCGCACAAGUAGUGGAGCAUGUGGUUUAAUUCGAAGAUACGCGCAGAACCUUACCAACACUUGACAUGUUCGUCGCGACUCUAAGAGAUUAGAGUUUUCGGUUCGGCCGGACGAAACACAGGUGCUGCAUGGCUGUCGUCAGCUCGUGUCGUGAGAUGUUGGGUUAAGUCCCGCAACGAGCGCAACCCUCACUUUUAGUUGCCAUCAUUUAGUUGGGCACUCUGAAAGAACUGCCAGUGAUAAGCUGGAGGAAGGUGGGGAUGACGUCAAGUCCUCAUGGCCCUUACGUGUUGGGCUACACACGUGCUACAAUGGUAUCUACAACAGGAAGCAAGACGGCGACGUUAAGCAAAUCCUUAAAAGAUACCUCAGUUCGGAUUGCACUCUGCAACUCGAGUGCAUGAAGCUGGAAUUACUAGUAAUCGUGGAUCAGCGUGCCACGGUGAAUGCGUUCCCGGGUCUUGUACACACCGCCCGUCACACCAUGGGAGUUGGUUCUACCUUAAGGCAAGGUUUAAAACCCUUGACCACGGUAUAGUCAGCGACUGGGGUGAAGUCGUAACAAGGUAGCC
RNAcentral lists this ribosomal RNA (1436 nucleotides) under uncultured marine microorganism. RNAcentral's name for it is "16S ribosomal RNA". It matches the Rfam family "Bacterial small subunit ribosomal RNA". The record is from RNAcentral.